This 467-nucleotide ribosomal RNA is filed under the name uncultured bacterium. RNAcentral describes it as "partial 16S ribosomal RNA". It matches the Rfam family "Bacterial small subunit ribosomal RNA", at positions 28 to 506 of the family's 1533-position model. The record is from RNAcentral.
GACGAACGCUGGCGGCGUGCUUAACACAUGCAAGUCGAACGGAAAGGCCCUGCUUUUGUGGGGUGCUCGAGUGGCGAACGGGUGAGUAACACGUGAGUAACCUGCCCUUGACUUUGGGAUAACUUCAGGAAACUGGGGCUAAUACCGGAUAGGAGCUCCUGCUGCAUGGUGGGGGUUGGAAAGUUUCGGCGGUUGGGGAUGGACUCGCGGCUUAUCAGCUUGUUGGUGGGGUAGUGGCUUACCAAGGCUUUGACGGGUAGCCGGCCUGAGAGGGUGACCGGCCACAUUGGGACUGAGAUACGGCCAGGACUCCUACGGGAGGCAGCAGUGGGGAAUAUUGCACAAUGGGCGGAAGCCUGAUGCAGCAACGCCGCGUGCGGGAUGACGGCCUUCGGGUUGUAAACCGCUUUCGCCUGUGACGAAGCGUGAGUGACGGUAAUGGGGAAAGAAGCACCGGCUAACUACGU